AUGAUUAGUGAGGAUGAUAAGGAUGAUAAGGAUGAUGACAUCGACCUGUUUGGCAGCGACAAUAAGGAUGGGGACAAGGAGGCAGCCCGGCUGCGCGAAGAGCGGCUGUGGCAGUAUGUGAAGGCCAAGAAGCCUGAGCUGGUGGCCAAGUCCUCCGUCCUGCUGGAUGUCAAGCCUUGGGAUGAUGAGACGGAUAUGGCCCAGUUGGAGGCCUGUGUGUGCUCUAUCCAGCUGAAUGGGCUGGUCUGGGGGAGUUCGAAACUGGAACCUGUAGGCUAUGGCAUCCGCAAGCUGCAGAUCCAAUGUGUGAUGGAGGAUGACAAGGUGGGAAAGGAUUUGCUGGAAGAGGAGAUCACCAAGUUUGAGGAGCAUGUGCAGAGUGUUGACAUCGCAGCUUUCAACAAGAUCUGAAGCCUACACAUGUGUGCAAGUGUGUGUAAGGCCUAGUCAUGAUUAAA
Carlito syrichta (Philippine tarsier) is the source of this 458-nucleotide RNA transcript. It is a transcript of the gene named elongation factor 1-delta pseudogene, with no coding region annotated. The record is from RefSeq and is a predicted model, not a curated record. NCBI's taxonomy places the organism in Eukaryota, Metazoa, Chordata, Mammalia, Primates, Tarsiidae. The transcript has a single exon.